CGCAUCUGUGCAUGCAGCAUAUCAAUAAGCGGAGGAAAAGAAACUAACAAGGAUUCCCCUAGUAACGGCGAGUGAAGCGGGAAGAGCUCAAAUUUGAAAUCUUAAAGGGUUUCCCUUUACGAAUUGUAGUUUAAAGAAGUGUUUUCUGUUGAGGUUUUGGUAAAAGUUCUUUGGAAUAGGACAUCAUAGAGGGUGAGAAUCCCGUAUUUGACCUUUACUUUCAACUUUGUGAUACACUUUCAAAGAGUCGGAUUGUUUGGGAAUGCAGUCCAAAAUGGGUGGUAAAUUUCAUCUAAAGCUAAAUAUUGGCGAGAGACCGAUAGCGAACAAGUACCGUGAGGGAAAGAUGAAAAGAACUUUGAAAAGAGAGUUAAACAGUACGUGAAAUUGUCAAAGGGGAAGCGUUUGACACCAGUGUUGUUUUUCUGAAAAUCAAUUAAAGAACUGUUUAUGCUAAGUUGUUUAGACUUUAUCAGCUAACUGUUUAGUUUUGAGCUUUUCUUCAAUGCACUUUUCAGUUAACAAGUCAACAUCAAUUUCUUUUGCUGUAAAAAAGCUUGAGGAAGGUGGCUUGAGAUUCGUCUUAAGUGUUUAUAGCCUCUCGCCUAUGCAGUCGGAGAGAUUGAGGUCUGCAGCGUAGAUCCUUCGGGGCUAAAUGCAUUUGUGCUAAGUUAUAGCAUUUUAUAGACAACUUGUUGACUAUGAUUUGUCUUGUAGCUUACUCGCUUAUGUUAUUUUACCUACGCUUAGGAUGUUACAGCAGUAUAGACUGU
RNAcentral lists this ribosomal RNA (773 nucleotides) under uncultured Neocallimastigales. Its description in RNAcentral is "partial large subunit ribosomal RNA". It matches the Rfam family "Eukaryotic large subunit ribosomal RNA", at positions 26 to 637 of the family's 3401-position model. The record is from RNAcentral. Lineage: Eukaryota; Fungi; Neocallimastigomycota; Neocallimastigomycetes; Neocallimastigales.